GCUGAACUGACUCGGGUCGAGGAAGGAGUAAGGAGCGGACGUCGGCGGCAGAAACGCUCUGGCUUUCUCCGAAGGGCCCAAAAGAGAGUCCGCGGCCGACACGGGAAGUCCCUUCAAGUGGUCGGUGUCCCCGAGGACUGCCAGUGGCUCAAGUGUGAGACCUGAACCUCAAGACAUGGUGCAGAGCUCCCAUGACUCAGAAUUGUCAUCCUAAACUAUUGAAGUGGGACAACCUUUGUUGGACAAACAGCUGCUUGUGAAAUCUGAGCUGGACAGUAGAUUUUGUAAAAUCAAAAACAGAGACAAGUGAGAUAAU
Long non-coding RNA from Scatophagus argus, 316 nucleotides. RefSeq lists it as uncharacterized. The record is from RefSeq and is a predicted model, not a curated record. The transcript has 3 exons. NCBI's taxonomy places the organism in Eukaryota, Metazoa, Chordata, Actinopteri, Scatophagidae.